CGGCGGACGGGUGAGUAACGCGUGGGUAACCUACCCUGUACACACGGAUAACAUACCGAAAGGUAUGCUAAUACGGGAUAAUAUAUUUGAGAGGCAUCUCUUGAAUAUCAAAGGUGAGCCAGUACAGGAUGGACCCGCGUCUGAUUAGCUAGUUGGUAAGGUAACGGCUUACCAAGGCGACGACCAGUAGCCGACCUGAGAGGGUGAUCGGCCACAUUGGAACUGAGACACGGUCCAA
RNAcentral lists this ribosomal RNA (238 nucleotides) under uncultured bacterium. Its description in RNAcentral is "partial 16S ribosomal RNA". It matches the Rfam family "Bacterial small subunit ribosomal RNA", at positions 96 to 334 of the family's 1533-position model. The record is from RNAcentral.